Molecule: long non-coding RNA, 9539 nt
Organism: Sphaerodactylus townsendi
Lineage: Eukaryota; Metazoa; Chordata; Lepidosauria; Squamata; Sphaerodactylidae
Exons: 2
Source: RefSeq, a predicted model, not a curated record
CUCAUCCUGUGUAAAACACUGGUCCGUAGCAAAUCUUUCCCAUAACCCUGUGAGGUAGGCCGUUGAGGCUGAGAGGAAAGGGGGUUGUAUUUGGUCAUCCAGUGAGUCCACGGUUGAGGAAGGAUAUGAACCUGAUUUCUGCCACCUCCACCUCCCAAUGCUGUCAAAUGGAGUUACAUGUUUGCAUAAUUAAUGUAAUGCCUAUAAGUUUAUCUGGGUUGCAGGGAGGUUGGGCUGAACUUGGCUUCUUUGGCAUGGAGUAGGAACCGUACCCAUCUAGAACAUUCAAUACAAGCACACGGAUUCUUAAGUAGAAUUAUUAUUGCUAGUCCCCUCCCUUCCCCAAGGGGUUACUCAGCAGGAAGACGUGGGGCAAAAAUCAUAACAGUUUGUCAAUUGUAUCUAUGCACAGAGAGAGGGUUGCCUCUUUGUAAAAAUGGGGAUUUCCAAAGGAAAAGAAAUUCAGUUUCAUAUAGAUUCUUUAUGUAAAACUUUUCUGAUAAAUGAUAUGUGCGUGCGCGCAUGGUUUCUCUUUUGUGUUGGUCUCCUUGGAGGUCUUGAAACUUUUAUUUUAUUUUUUUUGUGUGUGUUGUAUUUAUGUUUAGCUGCUUUAUAUAUUGUAAGAGGCAUAUUUUUGGAGAAUAGUGGCACUUAGAAGAAAGGGAAAUCUUGUUUUGGAGAGUGGGAAUAAUUUCUUCCUGUGUUUGAGGAAGUUUAGAGGGAAAUUUUUCCUUAUAGCAUCCAAAGUCAGUUAUUGUUUCAUUUGGCACUUUAAAUGCUAAAUUAACACACCUCUCUCUUCCUGGCAACCGUGUUGCUAUAGUUCAUAUAUAGUGCAGUAUGAUAACGGUCCAAAAGCACAGAGAAUAACUGAAUGAUCAGUGAAGCAAAAGUUUGAACUAUUUUGCUGUUCACUAGGGGAACGCGGGACAAAUCAGGGUCCAUGUGAGGUCAAGUAUGGAUAAGGUUUCUCUGAUGAUGGGCCGGGUUGUGGCUUGAAGCACUUUGGAUUUUAUUUACAGGUAAAUUGAUUCUUCUCUAUAUUGUUUUAUGGAACGUUUUUAUACUGCACUCCCAUUUCAGAGCUUUCGUCUAGUUCGCCACCAUGGGUCUAGUUUGAUCAGGACAUACGCAGAUGUAUUUUGCUGACUGCGAGCCAGACAACAUGGGAUGUAAGUGAUCCAGACCCCCAGAUGUGCAAUUUAGCCUCAGAAAGCAAUUGAUAGGGCGCUGAGAUAGAUUAAAGUUUCAAAACCGUGCAAGUUAUUUUAAUAGCUGCCACCCCCUCAGUUUCCUCAAUCAAAACUGCCCCUUUCCUGGACUGCUUUUAAGGGGUGGGGGGAUCAAGUACCAGUAUUGAGCCUGUUUUUUUUUUCUUCCACUGACAGCAGCCUGGAGUGGAGGGGGGCAGUUUGGAUUGAGGAAGCAGCUUGGUAAUGGGAAAGCUAGAUUUCUCCCUUUCCCAUCAUCACAGCUCUGACCUGUAUCUUCUACCCAGCCUGUAUCUCUGACCUGUAUCUUCUACCCCAUAGUUGCUUUGUGAUUAUGUCCCAAGAGGAUUUAAUCAUGAGUAUCCAGCUCACACUUGAGGCUACAAAUUGAGGUGGAGUUUGAGCCCAAACCUCCCCAGUCAGUUGGGACCUGUACCUGCUCUGAGGGCUGUUUUCAAGCAUAUCGAAGUUCCUGCCCAACAGUUACUUCCAGUGCUGGGAUCCAAAAAUUUUAAUAACAGGUUCCGAUGGUGGUGGGAUUCAAACAGUGGCGCCGCCGCACACACGCACCUCCAGUCCCUAUCCGGCAGGGAGGUUGCUUUAGUAACCCCUUCUCGGCACUCAGAAAAAAUUAGUAACCACUUCUAGAGAAGUGGUGAGAACUGGCUGGAUCCCAGCUCUGGUUACUUCUGCAUCGAAGUUUCUAGAAUUUCACUGCCCCCAUGGAGUCAAGCCUAAUUACUAAAAUGCCCGAUGCUUCCUCACUUGGGAAGCUGCCUUGUUGGAUCAGGUUUUGAGAGGCCGGCCAUCAAGCCAGGCCCGGAUUUGUUGCUGCUGUUUGAAUUUCAGUUCAAAUCAAGUCACAUUUGUGAAACGGUAGUGCACUUUGCAACUGGGUUUUACUGUGUGAAAUGGCAAAAUCCACUUGCAAACAAUUAUAGACGGAGAGUACAUUAUUCAGCACAUGGGCAGGUUCUAGUUAUCUCCUGCCAAGGCCAACAAGUCUAGAUUUCAGCUUAUGUUAGAAAGAAUCUUCUAAGGAUGAAAUGGGCUUCCAGUGAAUCAAAACAAAACAAACACCAUUUGUUUUAUGUCUUAAGGGUAACAAAAUUAAAUGAGGAUGAACAAUGCCAUUCAUUUAGUUCAUUUCCAGGAUGUUACAUUUAGUAGCCUAACAUCUCCUUGUAUUACCUGUAAAACUGGACCUUCUCCUGAUCUGUUUGAAAGUAGACUGAGAGGAUCCUUUGGGUGAGGGGAAAAGUUCUGGCACCUCCUUUCAGACACUGAUACCCCUCAUCUCUGCUGAGCCGCCUCCAGGAAAGAUCCAGACGGCACGGGGAGGCAGCGAAAAGAAGAAACCCCAGCCUCUGCUGGAGGAUCCUCCAUAGGCCAAAAUGGACUUACGCUACCUUUUUGGGUAGCUUAAGUCCAACUCCUGCACUGGGGACAUUCCUGGGCCAAAACCCUGGUGGAAGCCGACUGAGGUUGGCUGUACCCCUGGGAAUGUCCCUAGCGCACCCGCAGCUGUGCCAGCCACCAGGUUUAAGCUGGUUCAGCUCUGGGGCUGGAGGCCACUUUCAGAUCAGGCACUGUGGAGCUCUGUGGCACUAGCCCACCUCCCUGUUGGUAUGAGUGCCACUUAUGCUGGCGGGGGGUGGGGGGAGCCUUUCGCCAACUCCAGCUCCAACAGCUGAUCCCCCCCGCCCGACUGGGCUGCCAGGGUCCCGGUUAUUCUGCAGAUGGUGGCAUGAUUAUGUAGUGCAUUGGAACUGUUUAUAUAUUUAUUUUUCCAGCUUGGAAGUGGGGAAGGGGCAGAAUGAAUGUGUUAUAAAUAGAGUGGUGUGGGGUAGUCUGAUACAGCUGUAAAUUGAUGCAUAUACAUUCACCGUGAGUUGGGCUUUCUGUUGAAAAAUAAGAUCCACACGCACAUUUUUUUCAUGGAAGUGAAUUUGCAGUCGGGUGUUCUGUCGUAUGUGAAGCAGAGUCUUUCCACAGCAGAUAGUGUGAAGGACCAACCCAGGUUUUCUUGGGAUGUGGCAUUUCCAGCCUUGCUUUCAAUUUGCUUCUGUUCUAGGGCAGGGGCAGGGCUUGUGAGGAAACAAUGUUAACCUCAGACCCGCCUGCAUUGCAUGAAUGCGAAAGGAGAAUCCCUCACCUCCACAGGUGGCCCUCGGGACAAAGGUGAUACCUUCUGGAAAUGGCCACCAGGAGGAACAUCUUCACUCAGUCCUGUUAAUGGAUCUUCCCACAUGCUGGUAGCUAGCUGCUGCUUCAUCUCCGCAGGGAUGGCAUCAUCUCUGUGCUGUGGUUACACAGACAGUUGCGUUUAGCAAUCCCUUGUGUGGGUGGGAUACCAGAAGUAGGGUACAAACUGUGUCCCUUGGUUUUCAGGGAAAUCCUGCACCACUGUGCAGUAAUGGUCAGGCAGCCGUACCGUGCAUUUGCUUCCCUUUAUCGCUAAACCCUAAAGCUUGAGUGUAUCGGUGCAAAACUGACUGAUGCUGCUGUAAAGUUUGCUAUUCUUUAUUUACGGUGUGUUUUUGUAAAUAGGGGAUAACUAUUAUUAACUAUUAUUAUUAUUAUGUUUUAAUGAGAGGAUGUUUUUGUAUAGCUGCUGGGGCAUUUUACUGUAUAUAAAGCCAAAUUCUAAAGUAUUGCCUUCCUUGUGAUCCCCUCCCCUGCUCAGCCCCAAGAGAGCCCUAUGAUGUAGCCUGUCGAAUCUGUAGAAACCGCCUCUUCCUCCAGAAAUCAUCUCCUUUCCAUUUAUUUUUUUCUCUCUGCUUGAGCAAAUACUUGUUGAUGUAUCCAACAAAGUAUGGAAGUUAUUGUGUAUUUUUGUGUAUGCAUACACACAAAUCCCAAUUGAACCAAGAGUAGGUAUGUACAUAAUGUCUAGUCUGAUACAAUGCAUAUUAGCUUGGAAGUCAUUCAUCUGAGCUCAAUGCAGCUUAUUCCCAAGUGAAUCUGCAUAGGGUUUGGAAUCAGCACUCCCCCUUGCCCUGACAACAAGAAUUUGGAUAUAUGCAUGACUAACUUUACACCUAGCAUGUGGAGAAUUUGAAGAGCCCUGUUGGCUUUUGCAUUGAAUUUGCAUUCAGAUUAUAGAGGCCCGUUAUGCAUGACAAGCUUGUUGUGAUCUCACACCACAAGGGAGUGGGCAGGGUGAAGCUACCUAGACUGGCCGUGGGUGGAGGAAAGAUGCACAGGACAAAGCUGUGCUCACUGGCAAAUCUGCCCUGCUCUGAUUGCAAAGGACAUUAAAGUCACACUACAAGUGGUCCCGUUUACCACGGGGAGAAUGCAGAAUGAAAGCGGGGCUGAAGGAAAAAUGUCUGUACAAGAAAUUUUGCUGUGAUGAAAUUUCACUCCCGCCAUGAAGCAGAACCCUCGUGUGUAAUUGGCCAGAUAGACCUUUCAUAUCUUGUCAUCGAGGACAGAUUUCCUUAAACAGCCAGCUUGUGUUUAAUGGGCAUACCUGAUGAUCAGGGUCAGUGGACAAUACAAGAUUGUAUGAAACGUGCAGUGCAAAUGCAUGCUGCAUCUAUGGUAUAUGUGGCUAACAACCCUUUCUGUAGGCAGAAAGUAAACAGGUAGACAAGUUUCAUUUUUCCAUUUCUAGAGUCUCUCUGCUGUUUCACUCCCAUCUCUCAUUGCUUAAUGUUUUUGGGUAUGAAUGCUUCCUGACAAUCGACUGUGCAACAGCCUCUGUUCUGAAUGAAUUUUGCCUGUGUUGAAAUGGAUCCAUACUGUUCUGCAGUAGAGUUUGGUGAACUGGGCCAGAUUGCUGGACUGAACUUUAGCAUUGAAUUAGACCAGGGGUAGGGAACCAAUUGGCCAUGCUGACAGAGGCUUAUGGGAACUGUAGUUCCUGAACAUCUGGAGAGCCGCAGGUUCCCUACCCCUGAAUUAGACCAUGUCAUGGCACGGUAGUGGUUGAAGUUUACAGCUUUCAAAAUGUCAGAUUUUAAGGCCCUUAAAUUAAAAUGUCAUGAACACAGAGGAGGAAACUUGGAAAUCUUACUGAGUUCCAAUAUAUGUUUAAUUCAGAGACUGUUGUGUGCAGCAGUGGGUUUUGUGCUGCAAGUGAUGCCUGCGGUGAUAACCUUGUGCUGUGGAUAGGGACCCGUUGAAGUCAAAAGACUUGGAAGGGUAUAACUCUGCCUAACUCCUGCACUGUUAGUUGCCCAGAAACAGAUGUGAAAGAACAUCACCAUCCAGUUUGCUUUGCUGAAGACCACAACAGCUCGGUUGCAGACAGACAUGCGCUCACCUUGGAUCUAAGCCAAAAGACCUGUGCUUCAGAAUGUCCUUGUUACCAAAUGCCUUAUAUUAAGAGUAGCUUUAUUUUCUGCACGUAGAGGUGGAUGCCCUAUUAGAACCAUUAGUUUGCUGCAUGUGAAUUUACAGAGAAAUUUCAUUUCGAUUUCAAAUCCAUCUCCUUUUAGCCAAAUGGGUAUUCCUUCUGAGUGCUAGAGGAGGCAAAAGAAAAAAUGCCUCUUAUAAUUUAUCCAGUAUACUGGCCAUGUCCACAUUAAAGGAUUGGCAUUUGCUGCUUUAAUCCAGGGUUGUUAACUGUGGCCAGGAUGAGUUUGGAAGCCAAAGCUUACAAGAGGGUGUUUGUAAAUGUGCAAUAGGUUUUCAAAAAGAUGUUUCUUUAUUGACACUACAAGGAGCAGACAGGCCAAAUCCAGAAGCAAGUUAAAGCCAUUGCAUUGAUUCAUACUAAUUUUAUUAAGGAUUAAGUUCCAUUUUGUCCUGUUUGUAGCUCAUGGAUUGUGUUACUGUACUAGACACUUGAGUAGAGUGGUUGUACCAUGUAAGUCUCACUCUAAAUGGGUGGGUAAGUGUGAUUGUGACUAUCAAAGUUAUCUCUAUCAACAUCUGUAGAGAGGAAUUCAUGAGGAGAGGAACUGUAUUUUCCCCCCUUUUCCCCUUUCUUUGGCAAGUGGUUGAUUAGUGCUACUUCCAGUUGCAUAGCAAGGCUGAGGGCACUCAAUCCUGGCCCCCUGGCAGGUGGGACAACUAGCACAGCUACCAUUAGCAAGCUGUGGGUUCCUCUUGCAAUUUAGGAAGCCUCAUUCUACCCUCCUAUGCCUUCUGGUCAACUGGGUGUUUGCAAAUGUAAAGCAUGCAUCUCAAAUAUCAUUAACUGCUCACUGCGAUCAGUCAUUUUUCCAUGCAACUUUAUGAUUUUAUUCUAUGGAUUGUUGAAAGGCUGACAGAAUAAAAUAUUUCCCAUUGUGGCUGAGCAAACAGUUCCUGAAUUAGUGCUAUGGGCCUUACCCAAGAUUCCAGAGACCAGUUGUAAAGAUGUUUACCAUUUGGUAUAAACAGUGGGAAGAUUAAUAAUUGUAUGGGAUUUGACUGUUGUAGACUUGAAUGUGGAUGCUUUGCUGGGCUGGGGCGUUUCUCUGAGAGAGGUGGGAAUUUAUUCUAUCAUUUCUAUUUAUUUCUAAUUUUAAUUAAAGCAGUGAAACAAUGGGUUUUACAGUGCAUUACUAAGCAGAUUGGUAAAUUUCUUGAAGACUAUGGAUUUGAAAGGGUGUAACUUUACUUAGGAUUGUAUUCUUCGUUGCUCAAAAAGCAGAUGAUCAGUUACAUAUAUUUUCCCAUUACCAAAUCCUCAAUAUUGGUGCUUUUUGAGAUGUCAGUGGGUAUACAAUUGAAGAAUAAUUGUAAAUGGUUUUUAUUGUUAAACGGAAACACAACCUUUAAUUUUUUUCAUCCUUUAUUGCUCUUAACUCUCAAAUUCAUCAGUUGAAAUUGAUUCCUAACUGGUUAAUCAAUCAGAACUUUUUUGUGGCCCUAAUAAUAAUGAAAUGUUAUUAGGAAGUAUCAGGCAAAAAAGUAGUUAUUACUGUCAUUGGGUGUUUGAUGUUUUAAUUGUAAAGAUGUUCUAAUCCAAGAGCACCUUUAUUCUUGGGAAGAUCAAAACAAACACUUAAAAACCUUGAGGUCUGAAUCCAGAAACCCCAGUUUUGGUAGCUGCCACCAGCCCUUUUGUCUAUCCAAUCAGCCAGAAGCCCAGGGGAAAGCCUACAACCUUCUGGGGGUUACAGUUAAGAAAGUCACCCCUGCAAGGUAGACUGUCUGCAGAGUGACUUUGACAAAAUUAAUUAAUCUGUUUCGUGUAGCGAUUGGGUGUCUAGGACUGGAUUUAGAUUGAAGCCACCUAAAGACAAAACAUCACAAACUAUGAUUAAAAGAUUUAAAACUGUGCAAGAACAUGAUAAAAAAAACCAUGAUCAGUGAGGAAUAAAAUAAUGAAAACCUAAAUCAAAAUAGACUAUGCUAAAAGAGCAUUGGUUCAUAAGGCAAGAUUCAAAGCAAUGCAAGUUACCAUUUCCAGCUGUGGUCCUUCAGCUUCACAAAGGCAUCAGAGAGCCAUAGACACCAAGAACACACGUCAAGAUCCAAAAUGGUGGAUCAAGGAACCACAGUGAAUGGUACGAAGAAGCACACUUUGCUAGACUGAAUAGCCAAACUUUAUAGGCAGAAUAUUUGAAUUGGUUAGGGCUCAAUGACCAAUCAAAUUUGUACCUGGUGAUCUAAGACAAUCACACAACUCUGCUGCCAGCCAGGCGACCUUAAGAGUCAGAAUAAGAUAACAAGGUAGGAUUUAUUUUGCAGCCAUAAACCCUCCCUUGUGCAAGAUGACCCAGCAAUAAUUUCUUCGGCUGAAUUAGUUGGAAUGUGACCUUGUCAACCUUGGGAGUCCAGCUUGAGACUAUAUUUUACUCCCAACUCCCUUAUCAGUUUCUAAAGGUCAGAGCUCUGCUACCUUAAAAGCACACAGCAAAGUGAAAUUCCACUCUGUUAUCUGAAUGUCGGCCUUAAAACCUGAACAAAUAAAGAAGAAGCUGUACAGUUUCUUGACAUGUAUUGGACAAAUGGGGAAUAAUUGAGAACUGCAGUUCGGAAGCCAAAUCAUGAAGUUCUGUGCUAGCUUUUAUAUACCUGCGGUGUUGGUAGAACACCAGUGACCUGUGCCAUGCAUUGUUCUAGCAGCCCCGCAAUCCUCUUGUAUUUAUUUGUGAGUCCAUCCAAGUAUGAGGAUUGUGCCACGUCUGCUUUAGUCUCAUAACCAUUGUACUCUUUUUCUUUCAAUAGGAUAGUUGAUUGAUCAAUUAAGUUAUUUCGCUAAACACACUGGGUUGGCUCCAACUAUGCCCAAACGGAAAAAGAAAUGUACUUAGCCUGGUUGCAUUUGUGGCAGUGGUAGAACAACUUCUUGUGCAACAUCUUCUUCCACGCCAGUCUUAGGUUUCUCAUAUACUCAAUGAUCUUGGGGAACUAUUCUUAGAAUGAAGAAGCUGUGUUUUGUGAAAACACAAGUGUGGAUGCCAUAAGUGUAACUUAGCACAAGAGGCUUCUUCCGUCUGUGUUUCUGAAUGUGCAAGAGCUCUAGCAUGAGAUGUUAUGCAAGAGCUCUAGCUCGAGAAAUGUGCUGGAUCUAGGCAGUAAUUUUGGCAGUUUAACAAAUGCAUUUUAGGAGUUUGCAGGCAGGCAUUGACAGAAACAACAUCCACCCGGUUAUAGGCACUUGUGUGCUCAUUAGCAGAACAGUGUGCUCAGAAGCAGGGGCCGGUCCAAACGUCGCGGGAUAAUUCCCUCCCAUAAAAACCCCUAUGUGUCUUUGCUCAGGUUCUGGGCUGUUGGUCUGAGUCUUGACUUUGGCAAGAUGAUUAAACAUACUCCUGGGUUGCAGAGAUAACAUAUAGUACCGGCUGUUAUGUCUGUUUUGUAAAUGAGGGGAGUGUUGUAACACUUGUGUGCCUGUGGGUGCAAGAUGAACUGUGGGUCUUCAUGUUGUGCCUUUCGAUGUCCAUCUUGUCUCAGGAGCACAAAUAAUGGACAAUGAUACCAUUUUGUUUUGUACACUAUGAGCUCAUUGGAACAUGUGGGUUUUCUUCAGGAACACAUCACUUACCAAACAAGAAGCCAUGAAAGAAUCUCUGCAUAUUUUUAUUGAGUAAAAUGUAUAUAUCUUUUUGUUGGCCGUUCUAUUUUUCUAAUGAUUUCCUCAAGAGUUUCUUACUGUUGUGAUACAAUUAUUCAGCUCCUGGUGAUGACUUUGCAAAUCCUGUUGUUAUUUUAUCCCUCUCCGAUUUCAGUGGAGGGUUGUUUUGUUAGCUUGUGAUCUCCCCUUCCCUUAUUCACUCUCUAUAUGUUGUUUUUUAAAAAUAUGAAACCUAUACCUAGGAACAAUGCUGUAAAUAUGUCUCCAUCUUGGACAGUGUGGUUUUCGACUUUGAGAAACAACUUGUUAAUAUGUGAUAUAUCUGUAAAAAUGUGUCCAUGAAAUUAAAAUAAAUGAUGUCACUUUCA